GACGAACGCUGGCGGCGUGCCUAAUACAUGCAAGUAGAACGCUGAAGAGAGGAGCUUGCUCUUCUUGGAUGAGUUGCGAACGGGUGAGUAACGCGUAGGUAACCUGCCUUGUAGCGGGGGAUAACUAUUGGAAACGAUAGCUAAUACCGCAUAACAAUGAAUGACACAUGUCAUUUAUUUGAAAGGGGCAAUUGCUCCGCUACAAGAUGGACCUGCGUUGUAUUAGCUAGUAGGUGAGGUAACGGCUCACCUAGGCGACGAUACAUAGCCGACCUGAGAGUGUGAUCGGCCACACUGGGACUGAAACACGGCCCAGACUCCUACGGGAGGCAGCAGUAGGGAAUCUUCGGCAAUGGGGGCAACCCUGACCGAGCAACGCCGCGUGAGUGAAGAAGGUUUUCGGAUCGUAAAGCUCUGUUGUAAGUCAAGAACGAGUGUGAGAGUGGAAAGUUCACACUGUGACGGUAGCUUACCAGAAAGGGACGGCUAACUACGUGCCAGCAGCCGCCGUAA
Molecule: ribosomal RNA, 513 nt
Filed under: uncultured bacterium
Lineage: Bacteria
Description: partial 16S ribosomal RNA
Rfam family: Bacterial small subunit ribosomal RNA
Source: RNAcentral